GAUGAACGCUGGCGGCGUGCCUAAUACAUGCAAGUCGAGCGAACGGACGAGAAUCUUGCUUCUCUGAUGUUAGCGGCGGACGGGUGAGUAACACGUGGAUAACCUACCUAUAAGACUGGGAUAACUUCGGGAAACCGGAUCUAAUACCGGAGAAUAUUUUGAACCGCAUGGUUCAAAAGUGAAAGACGGUCUUUCGGUCACUUAUAGAUGGAUCCGCGCUGCAUUAGCUAGUUGGUAAGGUAACGGCUUACCAAGGCAACGAUGCAUAGCCGACCUGAGAGGGUGGUAGGCGACACUGGAAGGGAGACACGGUCCAGACGCCUACGGGAGGGAGCAGUAGCGAAUCUUCCGCAAUGGGCGAGAGCCUGACGGAGCAGCGCGGCGUGAGUGAUGACGAUCUUCGGAUCGUAAAACUCUGUUAUUAGGGAAGAACAUAUGUGUAAGUAACUGUGCACAUCGUGACGGUACCUAAUCAGAAAGCCACGGCUAACUACGUG
Molecule: ribosomal RNA, 497 nt
Filed under: uncultured bacterium
Lineage: Bacteria
Description: partial 16S ribosomal RNA
Rfam family: Bacterial small subunit ribosomal RNA
Source: RNAcentral